RNAcentral lists this transfer RNA (67 nucleotides) under Eumeta variegata. Its description in RNAcentral is "Clania variegata tRNA-Tyr". Lineage: Eukaryota; Metazoa; Arthropoda; Insecta; Lepidoptera; Psychidae. The record is from RNAcentral.
AAUAAAAUGGCUGAGUUAUAAGCGGUAAAUUGUAAAUUUACAUACGAGAAUUAUUUCUUUUUUAUUA